GCACUCAAAUCUUUCCCAGGCCUGCUUGCUUGGUGCUGGUCUGGGGACAGGCAGUGCUAUAGUAGAGCAGAGGAAAUCCAGACGGGUCGUUUCCAUCUGUCCUGGGGCCUGUCCCUACAACUCUGCCACACUU
Molecule: small nucleolar RNA, 133 nt
Organism: Rattus norvegicus (Norway rat)
Lineage: Eukaryota; Metazoa; Chordata; Mammalia; Rodentia; Muridae
Product: small nucleolar RNA SNORA55
Source: Ensembl